Molecule: long non-coding RNA, 828 nt
Organism: Homo sapiens (human)
Lineage: Eukaryota; Metazoa; Chordata; Mammalia; Primates; Hominidae
Gene: PROX1-AS1
Product: PROX1 antisense RNA 1
Source: Ensembl
AGAAGUGAUAAAAGCAGAGAGGGGCAGCCUAAAAGACUGUGUCUUUACUUAGAAAACAGUAGAGCUCAUCGGCUUGUGGAUCCUGAGCUGGGAAAAAAGUUUUCUCUCAAUGGGAAAAGAAGUUUUCUUGUCCCACUUCUCAUCACAGUGAGAUCUCCUCUCUAGCAUCCCUAACGUGGGGCCAUCUCACCUCUCCCUGAACUCUUCCACAGGCUCAAGUUUGUACAUUCCAACUUGUUGUUUGGGCCUUGUUGGACAUAACUGAAGUCUGGAUGGCAGGGUGAAAAUUGGAUAAACAGCCACACUGACUCAGGGGAGAUUUUUUUUUAAUGCAAACAUCUGUUUCUUGAAUUUGGCCAUGGUAAGACCUAAGGGAAGGGGGAAUACCAGUUGACGAAAUAAGAUCAAGAAGAUACUGCCUCAUUUUUUCUUCUGUUUCAGGGGUAUAAAUCCUGCCUUCUCUCAGCCUUACAGAGGAAGAAAACCCUUUCCAAGUUUCCUCUGAUACUGGGUUUAUGCCCAAUUAUAGUUUAGGCAUGAAGAAACUGAAGCAUGGAGGAAAAACUUAGCAACUAGCCCAACGUCACACAGGCAGUAUAUCAAGUUCUCAACUCAGUAAAGAUGUCAAUUCUCCCCAAAUUAUUUUUAUAAAUAUAAUGCAAUCCCAAUCAAAUUCCAAACAAUGAUUUUGAAUGAGGAACCUGGCAAAACAUUUCUAAACUUCACGUGGAAGAAUAUCUACAUGCAAAUAAUGAAGACACACACACCCACACUUAUAUGUAUUAGGAGCCGUGAUAGCCAGCCUUGACAAUGUGCUGAUGGCAACCU